CUAACACAUGCAAGUCGAACGUGAUCCGCCCUUCGGGGUGGUGAAAGUGGCGCACGGGUGAGUAACGCGUGGAUAAUCUGCCCGAGGAUUUGGGAUAACAUCUCGAAAGGGGUGCUAAUACCGAAUAAGCCCACGGGGUCUACGGAUCUUGCGGGAAAAGGGGGGGACCUUCGGGCCUCCUGUCCUUGGAUGAGUCUGCGUACCAUUAGCUAGUUGGUGGGGUAAUGGCCUACCAAGGCGACGAUGGUUAGCUGGUCUGAGAGGAUGAUCAGCCACACUGGAACUGAGACACGGUCCAGACUCCUACGGGAGGCAGCAGUGGGGAAUUUUGGACAAUGGGGGCAACCCUGAUCCAGCCAUGCCGCGUGAGUGAAGAAGGCCUUCGGGUUGUAAAGCUCUUUCGGACGGAAAGAAAUCGCCGCCUCUAACAUAGGCGGUGGAUGACGGUACCGUAAGAAGAAGCACCGGCUAACUACGUGCCAGCAGCCGCGGUAAUACGUAGGGUGCGAGCGUUAAUCGGAAUUACUGGGCGUAAAGCGUGCGCAGGCGGUUUGGUAAGACAGGUGUGAAAUCCCCGGGCUUAACCUGGGAACUGCGCUUGUGACUGCCAGGCUAGAGUACGGCAGAGGGGGGUGGAAUUCCACGUGUAGCAGUGAAAUGCGUAGAGAUGUGGAGGAACACCGAUGGCGAAGGCAGCCCCCUGGGCCUGUACUACGCUCUCACAAAGCGA
This 730-nucleotide ribosomal RNA is filed under the name uncultured bacterium. RNAcentral's name for it is "bacterial SSU rRNA". It matches the Rfam family "Bacterial small subunit ribosomal RNA", at positions 48 to 762 of the family's 1533-position model. The record is from RNAcentral.